UACGAAGGGGGCUAGCGUUGCUCGGAAUUACUGGGCGUAAAGGGCGUGUAGGCGGGUAGAUAAGUCGGGCGUGAAAUCCCUAGGCUCAACCUAGGAACUGCACUCGAAACUGUUUAUCUUGAGUGCCGGAGAGGAAAGCGGAAUUCCUGGUGUAGAGGUGAAAUUCGUAGAUAUCAGGAGGAACACCAGUGGCGAAGGCGGCUUUCUGGACGGUAACUGACGCUGAGACGCGGAAAGCGUGGGGAGCAAACAGG
Molecule: ribosomal RNA, 254 nt
Filed under: uncultured bacterium
Lineage: Bacteria
Description: partial 16S ribosomal RNA
Rfam family: Bacterial small subunit ribosomal RNA
Source: RNAcentral